CCCUCCCAGCACAGCUGGAUUCAUCCUGGGACGACGGGACUGCGUGGCACGAUUCCGCCGGUACCCUGAGACAUGUGUGAAAAAUUACCCUGCUGCUGCUACACUAAUCGCAGCAUGCAGCACGUAUACUUGAAAACACAGUAUGCAAAGUCUGACCCUGCCAGAUAUCUGCUCUGGCCUGAGAGCUGCCAUGCCCUGGUCUCUGUUGACAGAGGUCCCUGGCACAUGUCCCCAUGGGAUCUGAGGAGCCCCCACGAGGUGGUGACACCGCUGGUGCCUCCGCGUGCUGCCAGAGGAAUCCCAACUUCCCAACAGGUUUCUGUCGCCGUGGAAUUAGAGCAGCACAAAUGGAAUGUCAUACAAGAUGGUGUCAAAAGCUUUAUGAAAAUCCCUGUAUAUGGCAUCUUCCCUGUGACACCGAGAGGAUUCUUGAAGACAACUGCUGAACGCUCUGGAUCUGCGGGUUCAGGAGCCCUCCAUGAUCAACCCCGGCUAAUCUAAAAAACAACUCGUCUAAGGACUUUCUAAUCUGUUCCCUCUUUCCGUCAUUUUGCUGAAGAUUUCACACUUCUGUCGCUGGGGCUCGCGGGAGGAGCUCCCUUUUUAGUAAAGGCAGAAAAGCAAAAGGAGCGUCGUGCUUGUGCCUGUCACCUCCCAGCACCAGUUCUGCGUGGUGGAGCACUGGACCACCUCUCACUUUCGCCCUCUGCUUGCUGACAGAGCAGCUCUCGGUGCCUCCCCAUCCUCUGAGCCUUUAUAUCCUUUGGAGCCUGGACCCGCAGACUUUGUCCCCAAUUCCUCGAGCUUUUAACCAUCCAUCCCAAGUAACCUGAAGUGUUUUUUUUUUCUUUUCACUUCUGCCCCAUGUUUGAAACCAGUCAGUUUGUGGUUUUGAAAAGGUGAUCUUUUAAUUAAUUUUGACUGCUUCUUCUUCAUCAGAACAGUCUGCAUUUGUUGCUGUUGUUUCUCUAAGUAGCCACAAGUUCUUUUUAGCAAUCUGCAUAGAUUUGCCUUCCCUCUGCUCAACCUCACUGAUUCUACCAGUUUAUGAAGCAGCUGUUUUUGUCUUGUUAUCCUUCCCUUUUGGCCAGAAGCAAAUCUAGACAGCUUUAGCUUUUUUGUUUGUCUGUUUUACCUUUCGGGUAAGAACUGCUCUACCAAUGCAGUCAUAAAAUUUGCCAAGCAAUCAAUGAUUUACAGGAUCCCUGUCAAGCAAUUCUGAGUAGCUAAAAUCCCUCGCUACCACCACGUACCAUCUUUCAGAUGAUUUUGCAAACCACUCAUUAAAAUGGCUGUUCUGUUUUCUCUUCCUAGUUAUAUGCCUCUGCUCUAGCAGCACCCAUUUUUCCUUCUUUAAUUCUUAUUCAGAGCCUAUUUCCUCCUGCAGUCUUAGAGAAUGUACCUAUGCUCUUGAUAUCCUCCUUUUUCUCCUUGUUCGCCCUUCCUGAACAAGCUAUACAGUUGGAUAUUAAUAUUCCAGACAUAAGUUAUCCCAACAAGC
This 1501-nucleotide long non-coding RNA is filed under the name Anas platyrhynchos platyrhynchos (common mallard). RNAcentral describes it as "lncRNA (ENSAPLG00000022275.1)". The record is from RNAcentral. Lineage: Eukaryota; Metazoa; Chordata; Aves; Anseriformes; Anatidae.